Molecule: ribosomal RNA, 305 nt
Filed under: uncultured bacterium
Lineage: Bacteria
Description: bacterial SSU rRNA
Rfam family: Bacterial small subunit ribosomal RNA
Source: RNAcentral
CCCUACGGGGCGCAGCAGUGAGGAAUAUUGGUCAAUGGGCGGGAGCCUGAACCAGCCAAGUCGCGUGAGGGAAGACGGUCCUAUGGAUUGUAAACCUCUUUAGGCGGGGAGCAAUGCCGGGCACGUGUGCCCGGAGGGAGAGUACCCGCAGAAUAAGCAUCGGCUAACUCCGUGCCAGCAGCCGCGGUAAUACGGAGGAUGCGAGCGUUAUCCGGAUUUAUUGGGUUUAAAGGGUGCGUAGGCGGUCAGGUAAGUUAGAGGUGAGAGCUCGAGGCUCAACAUCGAAACUGCCUCUGAUACUGUCG